AGUGCCUGAAGAUGGCUUAUGUAGCCAUAUGAAAAGCAUGAUGCCGAAAGACUUUGCUGACAUGGACAUAUUCACUGGAGAGGCCAUCGAUGUUGUCAUCGGAUCCUCAAGAGAUGACGGAAAGGUGUAUGCUGGAUACGGGCAAUGGAUAGAAAAGGCUGCUUGGGGGACAUUGUUGCGGUCUACGUCUGACUACGUUCUGCCGUAUGGCGUCGACAAUGUAUUGGAUGCCAGAUGAGCUUAAGAACAGAAGCGUGGCUGGGACUUUGUCCAUCAAGUCGCGAUCCAAGGGAAGGACUGAGGCCAGACCAGCCG
Dermacentor silvarum is the source of this 315-nucleotide long non-coding RNA. RefSeq lists it as uncharacterized. The record is from RefSeq and is a predicted model, not a curated record. NCBI's taxonomy places the organism in Eukaryota, Metazoa, Arthropoda, Arachnida, Ixodida, Ixodidae. The transcript is spliced from 3 exons.